RNAcentral lists this transfer RNA (88 nucleotides) under Vulcanisaeta sp. RNAcentral's name for it is "tRNA-Gly". It matches the Rfam family "tRNA". From Rfam's summary of the family: Transfer RNA (tRNA) molecules are approximately 80 nucleotides in length. Lineage: Archaea; Thermoproteati; Thermoproteota; Thermoprotei; Thermoproteales; Thermoproteaceae. The record is from RNAcentral.
GCGGGGGUGCCCGAGCCAGGUCAAAGGGGGCGGACACCCAAUCCGCUGGCGAAGGCCUGCGUGGGUUCGAAUCCCACCCCCCGCACCA